GUGAGGAAUAUUGGUCAAUGGGCGAGAGCCUGAACCAGCCAAGUCGCGUGAAGGAAGAAGGAUCUAUGGUUCGUAAACUUCUUUUGCAGGGGAAUAAAGUGCGGGACGUGUCCUGUUUUGUAUGUACCCUGAGAAUAAGGAUCGGCUAACUCCGUGCCAGCAGCCGCGGUAAUACGGAGGAUCCGAGCGUUAUCCGGAUUUAUUGGGUUUAAAGGGUGCGUAGGUGGUUUGAUAAGUCAGCGGUGAAAGUUUGCAGCUUAACUGUAAAAAUGCCGUUGAAACUGUCGGACUUGAGUGUAAAUGAGGUAGGCGGAAUGCGUGGUGUAGCGGUGAAAUGCAUAGAUAUCAUGCAGAACUCCGAUUGCGAAGGCAGCUUACUAAGCUACAACUGACACUGAAGCACGAAAGCGUGGGGAUCAAACAGGAUUAGAUACCCCAGUAGUCC
This 445-nucleotide ribosomal RNA is filed under the name uncultured bacterium. Its description in RNAcentral is "partial 16S ribosomal RNA". It matches the Rfam family "Bacterial small subunit ribosomal RNA", at positions 354 to 796 of the family's 1533-position model. The record is from RNAcentral.